This is a long non-coding RNA of Malaclemys terrapin pileata, 643 nucleotides long. RefSeq lists it as uncharacterized. The record is from RefSeq and is a predicted model, not a curated record. Lineage: Eukaryota; Metazoa; Chordata; Testudines; Emydidae. The transcript has 2 exons.
UCUCUCUGACUCAUUGUCAGUAGGCAAAAAGUAUCACAAAGGCUAGAGACAGCUUUUACUCUCAGGUCUUGUGACAACAUUGAGGAAGAGAGACAGACAACCAGCUCUUUCUGAAGUGACAGCUUGGGAGCAUUUUAACAUCUGGUUCCUGUGUUAUGAAGAGGGCUGGAGCCUUUAAAACAACAUUGCUGCCCUGAAGGUCAGACAGAAACCACCGUUUUCCUCAAGGAACUUUUCUUAGGAGUUUGGAUGGCUUAACAUCUGCUGCUUGCAGUUCUAUUGUUAAUUUGUUAGGCAGCACAACCAAGAUUAUUUUUUCUAAUAUUUUCAAUGUGUGUCUGCGGGUGACAUAUCUGUAAAUAUACAAAUUAGUUUUGUAAGUAGGCUUAAAGAAGUGUAGUUAUAAAAUAGCAUCUAUAAACUGGUUCCGAUGGGUGUGUGCUGUGGAUGAGGUGUUGCGGGGUUGUUUGUGUUAUAUGCGUUGCUGCUGAAAGAAAUAUAAAAGAAACUUAAAUAUAUGUCAGGGUGUUUGCCUCUGUGUGUGUGUUCACGGGUUUAUAAGUAAGUUAGACUGCACUAUGUGAAAAUGUGGACAUUUUACCCAAUUCCAUCUCCCUUGAGAAUAAAUAUAUUUUUUUCUCAA